GACGAACGCUGGCGGCAGGCCUAACACAUGCAAGUCGAACGAAGUCUUCGGACUUAGUGGCGGACGGGUGAGUAACACGUGGGAACGUGCCUUUAGGUUCGGAAUAACUCAGGGAAACUUGUGCUAAUACCGAAUGUGCCCUUCGGGGGAAAGAUUUAUCGCCUUUAGAGCGGCCCGCGUCUGAUUAGCUAGUUGGUGAGGUAAAGGCUCACCAAGGCGACGAUCAGUAGCUGGUCUGAGAGGAUGAUCAGCCACAUUGGGACUGAGACACGGCCCAAACUCCUACGGGAGGCAGCAGUGGGGAAUCUUGCGCAAUGGGCGAAAGCCUGACGCAGCCAUGCCGCGUGAAUGAUGAAGGUCUUAGGAUUGUAAAAUUCUUUCACCGGGGACGAUAAUGACGGUACCCGGAGAAGAAGCCCCGGCUAACUUCGUGCCAGCAGCCGCCGUAA
This 449-nucleotide ribosomal RNA is filed under the name uncultured bacterium. Its description in RNAcentral is "partial 16S ribosomal RNA". It matches the Rfam family "Bacterial small subunit ribosomal RNA", at positions 28 to 523 of the family's 1533-position model. The record is from RNAcentral.